AACGAACGCUGGCGGCAUGCCUAACACAUGCAAGUCGAACGAGACCUUCGGGUCUAGUGGCGCACGGGUGCGUAACGCGUGGGAACCUGCCCUUAGGUUCGGAAUAACUCCCCGAAAGGGGUGCUAAUACCGGAUAAUGUCUUCGGACCAAAGAUUUAUCGCCUUUGGAUGGGCCCGCGUUGGAUUAGCUAGUUGGUAGGGUAAAAGCCUACCAAGGCGACGAUCCAUAGCUGGUCUGAGAGGAUGAUCAGCCCCACUGGGGCUGGGACCCGGCCCAGACCCCCACGGGAGGCAGAAGUGGGGAAUAUUGGACGAUGGGCGAAAGCCUGAUCCAGCAAUGCCGCGUGAGUGAUGAAGGCCUUAGGGUUGUAAAGCUCUUUUACCCGGGAUGAUAAUGACAGUACCGGGAGAAUAAGCUCCGGCUAACUCCGUG
Molecule: ribosomal RNA, 433 nt
Filed under: uncultured bacterium
Lineage: Bacteria
Description: partial 16S ribosomal RNA
Rfam family: Bacterial small subunit ribosomal RNA
Source: RNAcentral